This 402-nucleotide ribosomal RNA is filed under the name uncultured Hyphomicrobiales bacterium. RNAcentral's name for it is "bacterial SSU rRNA". It matches the Rfam family "Bacterial small subunit ribosomal RNA", at positions 353 to 772 of the family's 1533-position model. The record is from RNAcentral. Lineage: Bacteria; Pseudomonadati; Pseudomonadota; Alphaproteobacteria; Hyphomicrobiales.
AGUGGGGAAUCUUGGACAAUGGGCGCAAGCCUGAUCCAGCCAUGCCGCGUGAGUGAAGAAGGCCUUAGGGUUGUAAAGCUCUUUUACCAGGGACGAUAAUGACGGUACCUGGAGAAUAAGCCCCGGCAAACUUCGUGCCAGCAGCCGCGGUAAUACGAAGGGGGCUAGCGUUGUUCGGAAUUACUGGGCGUAAAGCGCACGUAGGCGGGUCGUUAAGUCAGGGGUGAAAUCCCGGAGCUCAACUCCGGAACUGCCUUUGAUACUGGCGAUCUAGAGAUCGAGAGAGGUGAGUGGAAUUCCGAGUGUAGAGGUGAAAUUCGUAGAUAUUCGGAAGAACACCAGUGGCGAAGGCGGCUCACUGGCUCGAUACUGACGCUGAGGUGCGAAAGCGUGGGGAGCAAA